This 253-nucleotide ribosomal RNA is filed under the name uncultured bacterium. Its description in RNAcentral is "partial 16S ribosomal RNA". It matches the Rfam family "Bacterial small subunit ribosomal RNA", at positions 524 to 776 of the family's 1533-position model. The record is from RNAcentral.
GACGUAGGGCGCGAGCGUUGUCCGGAUUUAUUGGGCGUAAAGAGCUCGUAGGCGGUCUGUCGCGUCUGCUGUGAAAACUCAGGGCUUAACCCUGAGCUUGCAGUGGGUACGGGCAGACUAGAGUGCGGUAGGGGAGACUGGAAUUCCUGGUGUAGCGGUGAAAUGCGCAGAUAUCAGGAGGAACACCGGUGGCGAAGGCGCCACUCUGGGCCGGUACUGACGCUGAGGAGCGAAAGCGUGGGGAGCAAACAGG